CAGUAAUGAAAGGUUGUACGCGCUGAUUGUUUUGGUUCUUCAUGGUUUCUAAGGUUUAAAGGCAUGAGGGUCCGCUACAGUAAGAGCUUCAUCUUCGCUGGUUCAGAUGCUCGCUGCACGUGCUGACUCACGGUUUCACCGUGACGAUGGUCAAUGGACUGCAGGACUUCGGAAUCGGCGUGAUGGUCUACGGAGCUGAGACACGAACAAGAAUCUGAAAGCCUGCUCCAGACGGGAACAGAAGGUACAAAAGAAAAGGAUAUAAAAGGUUUUGAAAGCAUGCCUCCUGCUUGUGAGACCACACCCACUCAUUCUUUUUUUCUAGCAGACAUCUGAGUGGAGCAGAACGUGUUGAUAGCUGGGGAAUGAAUUUGGCCAGGUGAGGAUUUAUUCGAGCUGCACUCUGUGGACUUGGAGCUGGAGGCCAUGCAGAAGCAGAUCCACAACCUAUAAAUGAAGCUAGCCCAGCUGUGAGAUCGGAACGCCGCGCUGGAAUCAUCCCGGAUUGACGCUCACCUGUCCCAGGUAAAUCCGUGGCGUGAAACAAACACUCCCACAACCUCAACUCCGUGUUCUUCUCUGCCCAGGCCCAACGCACCAAGGACGCGGCCCGCCCAGGUUUCCUUCACUCCGGUGCCUGGGUACCACGCAGCCUGGAUGCAGCAGCAGCGGAAGACACGAGCCAAGCCCUGGGCGAGGACCUCUCCCCACCCGUUUUCGAGAUCUCAACCCGCAACCACUUCGCUCCCCUUUGCGAGACGGAGUGCGAUGUGGUGAUCAUCGGAGACUCCACACAUCCGUGCUACUGCGGCUAAAGGUAAGGUGCGCACUCGCUGUUUUCCUGGUACUCGUGUUGUUGAUGUCACUGCACAGGUACAGCGAUCCUGAAUAAGAACAUCGGAGCUGUGGUCCUCCAUGCUGGCAUGAACGACAUCAGGCUGAGGCAGACGGAGAUCCUGAAGAAGGACUUCAGGAGCCGAUUCCGACUAAAAAAGCCAUCCCGAGGCAUACAGAGAUUGUGCCAGCUCCAGUGGCAUCCAGAGAUGGACCAGCUCCAGCCGGGUUCUGCUUUGUGAGGAUUCGGGUAUUCAAAGCAACACUGCCAACCUUAUGUGGACGACAACAACCUCCUUAUUAUUUUACAUAACAUUCUACACAUGCUGUAUCUGCAUCACACAAUUGACUAUACAUAAAUGCACAAAGGACAUUGUUCAUAUCACACUCUCUGGUGUUUACAAUAAUUUAUAAUCACACUCUCCACUGUCACCCAAAUGAGGAUGGGUUCCCUUUUGAGUCUGGUUCCUCUCAAGGUUUCUUCCUCAUACCAUCUAAGGGACUUUUUCCUUGCCACAGUCACCUCAGGCUUGCUCACUUGAGAUAACAUCUAGGACUGUUUGCCUGUUUAUAUGUUUGUUGUUUCUUAUGUAAAGCUGCUUUGAUGGAACGCUCUUUGUUAAAAGUGCUAUAAAAAUAAAAUUGAAUUGAUUUGAAUGUGCAUGUAAAGGCAGACGUCCCAAAACUUUUGGCUAUAAAGUCGAUAUUACUAUUUGCACAUACUGAACACUUGUAAAUAAAUUACAGUGUUUUCUCUAAGUCAACCUUUAGGGACAUAAUAAUCACAUUGGACGAAGGCGUAUUUGGAAGGAGAACUGCUGGAUGCAGGAGGAUUUGGCUGUGUGUUUGCUGGACUACGCAAAGAAGACGGAUUGCCAGUUGCAAUCAAGUACGUCUCCAAAAAGAUGCCAUAUGAAAAACUGCAGCUUACAGGAUAUGGAUGGCUGCCCAUUGAGAUAGCUUUGAAGAUCCUUGCAAACACAGAACCUUGCUCAAAAAUCCAGAAGAUUCUGGACUGGCACGAAGAGGCAAAGUGAUAUAUCGUACUCCUGGAACAGCCUGAACCAUGUGUGGACCUCGAGGAACUCUCCGGCAAGCAAGGUGGAUGUUUGACUGAGGUCGAGGCUCGCAAUGUGAUGUUUCAGCUGAUGGAAGCAUUGAAGCAUUGCAAGAGCCAGGGGAUACUGCAUCGUGAUGUCAAGCCAGAAAACAUUCUGAUUCAGACAGACACGUUUCAAGUCAAGCUGUUUGACUUGAAAGAGACCUCGUCAAAGACCCUUACAGUUACUUUGCAGGUGUCUGAUGUCUAAAUCUAAUGUAUCUUUGUUAACACUUGAAUAUGCCCCUCCUGCUCCCCGAAAGUCUGUCUCAAGGCAAGGAACUAUACUCAAUUUAAUACUUUUGAAAAAGUCAAGAACUUUGAGUCUGUAUCUUUGUCCCGCUGAACAGUAACACGUCGAAUUUCUGACUUUCAAUGUCAAAUCUAAGAAAAGCUGAAACUUGCAAUAAACAAUUGCAAAUACUGGCACAGACGUGACAGAUGCCAGUCAGCUCCUGAUCUUUGCAAGAACGAUUACAGAGAACUUUGAUGUUCAAGAGGAGCUGUUAAAGCUUGCUUCAUUACAUGACACCACUUUUUCAGAACUGACACUGAAAAGGGAAAUUAAAAAGUUUUUGGAUUUAGGGUCUCUAGCUUAUAUAAUCAAUGAGAAAAUGAAUCUCAAAUAGCAAGCAUUCUGUUAUUUAGAAAUGAGUUUGUAUUGUGAUUUUCCUUUUGAAUUACCAAAGACCUGAGGAAUUACUGUACAAUGUCUGUUUAAUCAUUGCCUCUCAGUCCUAUGUAGACGUUGUGUUGGAAUGUAAUGUUAAGCUCCAACUCUUCUGCAUUCACGCGUCUCCUGAACAUCUCCCGAUCAGCUACCGGCUCUUUGCGUGUUCGCUCGGCCGAGGUGGAGGGUCAGCGCGCACACAGGAGCAGCAGUGGAGUGAAGUUCUGUGUUGUGUCCGAUCGUCAGUCAAGAGGAGCUGAACAUGCCUUAGAGUUCUUGUACUUGUUGGAUUCUGUAUCACAAGUCAGAGUCUGCUGUUGUGUGGACCACCUGUCUGGCAUUAAACUGACACCAAAACCAGCACAUGUUCACAUGUUCAUAAUUAUACCUGGCUGCUUGAUCUGAAAUUUUUUACAUCACUUAAGUAUGUGGUGGUGUAUUCAUCAAGUGCAAAUGACAGAAAUUUCAAGAAAAUUUUCAUGAUGUACCAAGUUUUUUUUUUUCUUUUUUCUUUUUCCACUCUGUUUCCUUCACCUGUCUGUCUUGUCAUUGAGAACUUUGAAAGGGCUCAAAGUUGAAUGUAAUCCACCAUCUAAUUGUUCAUACUAAUUUUCAGGAUCAAAUAUAUAUAUAUAUAUAUAUAUAUAUAAUCAUUGUUUACAACCUGUGUCUUGUGUUGUGUACCACACAAAUGGGCAGAUUAGUGCAGUUAGUGGACAGUAAUAACCGCUUAAUAUUUUAACAUGGUGUACAGGAUUAACAUAAGUAAAGUUGUCUUUAUUUGUCACAUGUACAUUACUGCACAGUGAAAUUCAUUCUUCGCGUAUCCCAUCCUUGGGGGUUGGGGUCAGAGCACAGGGUCAGCCAUGCUGCAGCACCCCUGAUGCAGCAGGGUGGGU
Hemibagrus wyckioides is the source of this 3502-nucleotide long non-coding RNA. RefSeq lists it as uncharacterized. The transcript is spliced from 7 exons. NCBI's taxonomy places the organism in Eukaryota, Metazoa, Chordata, Actinopteri, Siluriformes, Bagridae. The record is from RefSeq and is a predicted model, not a curated record.